GCCGACGAAAGCUAAAUUCACGUUUGGUUUGGUAAACUACGUAUGAGGUUAGGUGGUGGUGUGUAGAAGAGGUGUGACGUCGUGUUGGUUUCGUUACGUUUGCAGGCUUCGUUAGUUUCUAAGAUUUUGUGUUGAUUAUAUUAAAAUGGUCCCAGAUGACUAAAUUGGUUCCAGAUUAAACCGGUGGAGAGGCUUCUGAUACUGGAGUACUGGAAUAUUGGAGUGGGCACUUGAGGACGUAACGUAUAUUUAAUAUUCAAUUAAAACUGAGUGAAUCCAGGGGGAAAGGUUGACUACACGUUCAUACUGUCUUGAAAGCGUUAAGGCACGAGAAUUCUCCCAGGAAAUGGCUUACCACAACGCUAAUAAGUCUUGAAAGCGACAAAAUCGCUAGAAUUAGUCGCGAAUAUUAGUCUUCAAAGGAUUCUCUAGUGCUUGUGCACCAGUGCUAUUAAGCAUGACAUCUUAGUUUGGCCGUCUAAAGUUCUUGAGAACUGAUGGUAAUAAAUCUUUUAAUUAUAUUUAAUAUACA
Long non-coding RNA from Macrobrachium nipponense, 532 nucleotides. RefSeq lists it as uncharacterized. NCBI's taxonomy places the organism in Eukaryota, Metazoa, Arthropoda, Malacostraca, Decapoda, Palaemonidae. The record is from RefSeq and is a predicted model, not a curated record. The transcript is spliced from 3 exons.